GAUGAACGCUGGCGGCGUGCCUAAUACAUGCAAGCCGAGCGAACAGACGAGGAGCUUGCUCCUCUGACGUUAGCGGCGGACUGGUGAGUAACACGUUGAUAACCUACCUAUAAGACUGGGAUAACUUCGGGAAACCGGAGCUAAUACCGGAUAAUAUAUUGAACCGCAUGGUUCAAUAGUGAAAGACGGUUUUGCUGUCACUUAUAGAUGGAUCCGCGCCGCAUUAGCUAUUUGGUAAGGUAACGGCUUACCAAGGCAACGAUGCGUAGCCGACCUGAGAGGGUGAUCGGCCACACUGGAACUGAGACACGGUCAAGACUCCUACGGGAGGCAGCAGAAGGGAAUCUUCCGAAAUGGGCGAAAGCCUGACGGAGAAACGCCGCGGGAGUGAUGAAGGUCUUCGGAUCGUAAAACUCGGUUAUUAGGAAAGAACAAAUGUGUAAGUAACUAUGCACGUCUUGACGGUACCUAAUCAGAAAGCCACGGCUAACUACGUG
Molecule: ribosomal RNA, 497 nt
Filed under: uncultured bacterium
Lineage: Bacteria
Description: partial 16S ribosomal RNA
Rfam family: Bacterial small subunit ribosomal RNA
Source: RNAcentral